ACUAUCUCUCCCACUCUAUCAACCAGCACACAACCUUUAGAGGGUUGAUUCGGCUGAUCUUGUUGGCUAAGCAUGUAUCCCCUUCCUCCCUCACUACUCCAUGUGCAUCCCUCCCAAAGUGGCACACUAGGUGGAAAAAGAUGACUUACUCCAUAGAGAAGGAACAUUCUUCAGUCAAGGUAUAUGAGUAGCUACAUUCCCAUUGUAGAACCACCAAACAAACUCUCAGCAUCAUCUGUAGAAGAAUGUAGGGUAGUCAAGUUUCCAAGACUCCAGACACAUCUAAAUGAGGGGCUGCAUGUGGCAUUCUGCCUUUCAAA
This is a non-coding RNA of Mustela putorius furo (domestic ferret), 320 nucleotides long. The record is from Rfam. NCBI's taxonomy places the organism in Eukaryota, Metazoa, Chordata, Mammalia, Carnivora, Mustelidae.